UCAUCAGUCUCUGUCAUGACGGGGAGAAAGAGGCUUAUUGAAGGUACAGAAAUGGAAGCAAAAUGUGUUCUACUUCUUGCAGUAAUCCUUAACAAAGUAGCCAGUGCCCCAGAAUCUGUGUUUGCUCUAGAGGGAAACUCUGUCACCCUGAUCAUGAAGGAAAAUUACCAUCUUGAUCCAAAUGACGUAACCUGGACCUUUAAUGAAUCAUUUGAUAUUGUUAGAUAUUAUCCACACUAUAAUAAAUCUCGCCAGCUAAGAGUCCUAGGCCUUUAUAAGGGUAGAGUAGAAUUUGAUAGCACCACGUUCUCUCUGGAGCUGAAGAACCUGCAGAAGAAUGACAGCGGACUCUACAAAGGAGAGAUACAUUCUGAGAACUGCACUAUUGUAAUAGUAUACAGGCUCUCUAUUUUCGAGAAAGUGUCUGCCCCUGUCUUGACUGUGGAGCCUGACCUGUCUAGUGGUGACCUCUGUAAUGUGACAGUAACAGCGAACUGUACAGCUGGUGAACUCACU
This is a long non-coding RNA of Alosa sapidissima (American shad), 516 nucleotides long. RefSeq lists it as uncharacterized. The record is from RefSeq and is a predicted model, not a curated record. The transcript has 3 exons. Lineage: Eukaryota; Metazoa; Chordata; Actinopteri; Clupeiformes; Clupeidae.